This 580-nucleotide ribosomal RNA is filed under the name Salmonella enterica. Its description in RNAcentral is "partial 23S ribosomal RNA". It matches the Rfam family "Bacterial large subunit ribosomal RNA", at positions 1221 to 1785 of the family's 2925-position model. Lineage: Bacteria; Pseudomonadati; Pseudomonadota; Gammaproteobacteria; Enterobacterales; Enterobacteriaceae. The record is from RNAcentral.
UUGUUGGGUAGGGGAGCGUUCUGUAAGCCUGCGAAGGUGGCCUGUGAGGGUUGCUGGAGGUAUCAGAAGUGCGAAUGCUGACAUAAGUAACGAUAAAGCGGGUGAAAAGCCCGCUCGCCGGAAGACCAAGGGUUCCUGUCCAACGUUAAUCGGGGCAGGGUGAGUCGACCCCUAAGGCGAGGCCGAAAGGCGUAGUCGAUGGGAAACGGGUUAAUAUUCCCGUACUUGGUGUUACUGCGAAGGGGGGACGGAGAAGGCUAUGUUGGCCGGGCGACGGUUGUCCCGGUUUAAGCGUGUAGGCUGGUUUUCCAGGCAAAUCCGGAAAAUCAAGGCUGAGGCGUGACGACGAGGCACUACGGUGCUGAAGCAACAAAUGCCCUGCUUCCAGGAAAAGCCUCUAAGCAUCAGGUAACACGAAAUCGUACCCCAAACCGACACAGGUGGUCAGGUAGAGAAUACCAAGGCGCUUGAGAGAACUCGGGUGAAGGAACUAGGCAAAAUGGUGCCGUAACUUCGGGAGAAGGCACGCUGACACGUAGGUGAAGUGAUUUACUCAUGGAGCUGAAGUCAGUCGAAGAUA